GUGCUCGCUUUGGCAGCAUAUAUACUAAAAUUGGAACAAUAUAGAGAAGAUUAGCAUGGCCCUUGCGCAAGGAUGACAUGCAAAUUCGUGAAGCAAAUUCCAUAUUUUU
Molecule: small nuclear RNA, 109 nt
Filed under: Phascolarctos cinereus (koala)
Lineage: Eukaryota; Metazoa; Chordata; Mammalia; Diprotodontia; Phascolarctidae
Source: RNAcentral